This 407-nucleotide long non-coding RNA is filed under the name Lupinus angustifolius (narrow-leaved blue lupine). RNAcentral describes it as "long non-coding RNA (LANG_LNC001121)". The record is from RNAcentral. Lineage: Eukaryota; Viridiplantae; Streptophyta; Magnoliopsida; Fabales; Fabaceae.
AACAAUCCCUCUCUCAUCCUAAGAUAGCUUAUUCCAUCUCAAAGACAAUAACCAUGUGUCUCCAUUUUCUUCCCUCAACUGUCUGAAACUCAUAGUUUUAUCUCUCAUUCUCAAAUUCUUCCCUUCAUUCCAGUAGAUCCAACCAAAACCAGAACACCCUAUACUUUUCAAUCCAUUAUAUUAUUCCUCAAAAGACCCCCUUCACCACCAAUAUCCGAGUUGCAUACAUAUCCAACUCUCACACACAUAUAGAAAAGAAACUCUCACUCUUUCCUAAACAAUCAAAAAUGGUUUCUUCAUUGGAGCGUGUAGAUCUAGACGACAACCUAAUAAAGGUGAUAAUAAUCAGCAUGAUCCGUUCUGGACGAUUCACUGAGUCCCACCUCUAUGAGAAGUUUACGAACCAA